RNAcentral lists this ribosomal RNA (305 nucleotides) under uncultured bacterium. RNAcentral describes it as "partial 16S ribosomal RNA". It matches the Rfam family "Bacterial small subunit ribosomal RNA", at positions 505 to 808 of the family's 1533-position model. The record is from RNAcentral.
ACAGCAGCAGCCGCGGUAAUACAAAGGGGGCUAGCGUUGUUCGGAAUUACUGGGCGUAAAGCGCACGUAGGCGGACAUUUAAGUCAGGGGUGAAAUCCCGGGGCUCAACCCCGGAACUGCCUUUGAUACUGGGUGUCUAGAGUAUGGAAGAGGUGAGUGGAAUUCCGAGUGUAGAGGUGAAAUUCGUAGAUAUUCGGAGGAACACCAGUGGCGAAGGCGGCUCACUGGUCCAUUACUGACGCUGAGGUGCGAAAGCGUGGGAGCAAACAGGAUUAGAUACCCGCGUAGUCCCUGUCUCUUAUACA